GAUGAGCGCUGGCGGUAUGCUUAACACAUGCGAGUCGAACGGACUCUUCGGAGUUAGUGGCGGACGGGUGAGUAACGCGUGAGAAUCUGGCUUUGGGUUCGGGACAACCACUGGAAACGGUGGCUAAUACCGGAUGUGCCGAGAGGUAAAAGAGAAAUUGCCUGAAGAUGAGCCCGCGUCUGAUUAGCUAGUUGGUGAGGGAAAGGCUCACCAAGGCAGCGAUCAGUAGCUGGUCUGAGAGGACGACCAGCCACACUGGGACUGAGACACGGCCCAGACCCCUACGGGAGGCAGCAGUGGGGAAUUUUCCGCAAUGGGCGAAAGCCUGACGGAGCAAUACCGCGUGAGGGAAGAAGGCUCUUGGGUUGUAAACCUCUUUUCUUAGGGAAGAACAAAAUGACGGUACCUAAAGAAUCAGCAACGGCUAACUCCGUG
This 435-nucleotide ribosomal RNA is filed under the name uncultured bacterium. Its description in RNAcentral is "partial 16S ribosomal RNA". It matches the Rfam family "Bacterial small subunit ribosomal RNA", at positions 28 to 507 of the family's 1533-position model. The record is from RNAcentral.